UACAGAGGUCUCAAGCGUUGUUCGGAUUUACUGGGCGUAAAGGGCGCGUAGGCGGCCAGCACAAGUCAGUUGUGAAAUCUCCGGGCUUAACUCGGAAAGGUCAACUGAUACUGUGCGGCUAGAGUGCGGAAGGGGCAACUGGAAUUCUCGGUGUAGCGGUGAAAUGCGUAGAUAUCGAGAGGAACACCUGCGGCGAAGGCGGGUUGCUGGGCCGACACUGACGCUGAUGCGCGAAAGCCAGGGGAGCGAACGGG
This 254-nucleotide ribosomal RNA is filed under the name uncultured bacterium. RNAcentral's name for it is "partial 16S ribosomal RNA". It matches the Rfam family "Bacterial small subunit ribosomal RNA", at positions 524 to 776 of the family's 1533-position model. The record is from RNAcentral.